RNAcentral lists this long non-coding RNA (12436 nucleotides) under Capsicum annuum. RNAcentral describes it as "long non-coding RNA (CANN_LNC018605)". The record is from RNAcentral. Lineage: Eukaryota; Viridiplantae; Streptophyta; Magnoliopsida; Solanales; Solanaceae.
UGAAAUUCAACUUCCAUGGUGGGGACUUCUUAUGGCUGCUACCAUGGCCUGGCUUUUCACCCUCCCUAUCAGUAUCAUUACCGCCACAACUAACAUGGUAAGUAAUAAUUACAUUGUCAUUAUAUAUUAUUGUGUUAACUGGCCAAAGGUCUACAGAAAACAUAUUCUCAAUCUUCACUAGGUCGGGUAAGGCUAAAUACACUCCACACUCCACACUCCUCAAAUCCUACUUAUAAAGACUAUAUCGAAUAUAUUAUUGUUGUUGUUGUUCUGUAUUGUCUAAACAAUGGGUGCGUCAAUAUAAACGAAAAUAUGUUGCAUGGAAAUUGUUUAAUUUCCUAGAAAAUACGUAGUUUUCUUAUUUUCUAAUAUUUGAUAAAUAUGUAGAAAAUACUCAAAGGCGGCUCUACCUAGUAAAGAAAAAGGCAAUCGCCUAAGGCCUCCAAAUUUAAGGGGCCUCAUUUUUUUUUUUAGCAAUAAUAAAUUAUAUGUUUUUAUUAAAAAAUUAUUAAAUAUUAUUUAUAGCAAAAAUAAAUUUCUUAUAUAAAAGUAAGGAAUUAUUAGAAGAAUUUUGAUGUAUUUAAAGUAUGUCUCAAUAAAGAUUAAAUGCAUUAGUUAUAUUAACGACAAAAAUUAUUAAAAGAAUCGACUAUAAUAUUUAUAACUUUGCAUCUCAAAAUUUAAAAUAUAAACUUUAUCAAAAAAAAUAUUUUUUAUAAAAAUUUAAGAUCUACAUUUGAUUUUUGCCUUAGGCGAUCAAUGUGAUUGAGCCGCCCUGAAAAUACUAUUCCAAAUAUAUGUGUAUAUAAUCUAGAGAAACAAUGUUUGAGUUGGCAUGGGAUGGUGGGGGUGGGGUAAGUUGUGUCGAAGGAUGAGGACCGCUUAUGAAAACUUGUCCUCCGGCUCUAUUUUUACUGGGAAGUCACUUUUUAUAUUUUUAAAGAACUUGCUUUCUAGAACAAUUUUUUUUUUUAAAAAUUUGACCGACCAGACACACUCUACAUAAUUUAAAUUUUGUGCAGUAAUAAUGUAUGUACAUUUUCCACUAUCAGGUUAGGUUUCCCUAUAAUUACAUGUAACCUUUAUAAAAUAGUGACCUAAAAAAUAGAAGUUAAUAUUUAACUUUUCAUUACCGAUUAAAUUGAACUGAUGGUGUGGAAGUUUAUUCAGUACUGCUAGUAAUAGAAUGUAAUUAAAUACUAACUAAAAUUAAUUUGAAUAUUUUUGACUAAACAAUUUUCUUUUUUUUGCUUUUGAUGGCAGUCACCAGGACUAAACGUGAUCACAGAAUAUAUUAUUGGUCUGAUAAUUCCAGGGAAACCAAUAGCCAAUGUUUGUUUUAAAACAUAUGGGUAUAUAAGUAUGUCACAGGCAGUUACCUUUCUUGCUGAUUUCAAGCUUGGCCAUUAUAUGAAGAUUCCUCCAAGAUCUAUGUUCAUUGUUCAGGUACUAAUUUAUAGUGCAUUGUUCUCGUAGGUGCUUGUACUUCAAUUUUUUGUUACUCGUUACGUUAUAUUCUGUGCUUUACUUGGUUAUUGUUCCUGCUCUUUGUCUUUUGAAUGCUAUGUUAUGUUACGUCCUCUUUAAUUUUGUAUUUUUCUUUUUAACUGCUUUGAUGUAUGUUACUCAAGUUAUGGAUUUUUUGGAAACAAUCUCUCUUCUUCCACGAGGUAGGAUUAAGGUCUACGUACAUGUAAACUCACAUGUAAGAUUAUACUGCGCAUGUUGUUGUUGUAGUAGUAGUAGCAUGAAAAUUUGUGUUAUAAUUCAAGCAUAAUGUAUGUAUAAUCCCUGCAUAACUUUGUCCACAAACUAAUUAUUUUCUUAUAAUCAGCAGCAACAAAGAAAAUUCCUGCAACUCUUGUUGCUGCUCACAAUAAGAAAACAUGAAUUAACAGUGAACAACUUUUGUCGUUAAACAACAAAAAUCUAUCGAUAAUCCUAUUAACGAUUGACUAUUGAGCAACAAAUUUCGUAGUUAAAUAUAACUUGAGCUGACAAUUUUUUUGUUCUUUGAAACAGCUUCUUGGAACCCUCAUUGCUGGAACAAUAAACAUGGGUGUAGCAUGGUGGCUACUUACAAACAUUACUAACGUAUGCCAAGACCAAUUACUACCAGAAAAUAGUCCAUGGACAUGUCCCGGAACUCGUGUCUUCUUCGAUGCAUCGGUGAUUUGGGGUUUAGUAGGACCUAAAAGAAUGUUUGGUUCACUUGGAAAUUAUUCUGGACAAAAUUGGUUCUUUCUUGGUGGUUUAAUUGCACCACUUAUAGUAUGGUUGCUACACAAAGCAUUCCCAAAACAAAGUUGGAUUAAAUUGAUUAACAUUCCAGUACUUCUAGGUGCAACAGCUGGUAUGCCUCCAGCAACGACAUUGAACUUCAAUAGUUGGAUCUGCUUUGGUUUAGUAUUCAAUUUAUUCGUUUUCAGAUACAAAAAGAAUUGGUGGCAAAACUAUAAUUAUGUUUUGUCAGCUGGAUUGGAUGCUGGCUUGGCAUUUAUGGGAGUGUUCAUAUAUUUUGUCCUUGGUAAAGUUAAAUUUGAGUGGUGGGGUACUGGUGGAGAACAUUGUGCUUUGGCUUCUUGUCCUACUGCUAAGGGCAUACAGUUUAAAGGAUGCCCCGUACAUUGAUUUCACUACGACGAUCGUGCUCGUGUUGGACUUGGUCAUGCUUUUUCAGACGAUCAAGCAAUAUAUAGUUGUUGUUGAUUGUAGGAGGUUAAUAAUUUGUGUUGAUUUUACUUUAAUGUUCGUGCUCGUCUUCAUUGAAGAUUUCGUUGUACAGGCUCAUGGGCGCCAACAUCAUUGAAGAUUUUGUUGUUGUUACUAUUUGUAUGUUUACAUAAUUAUUUUGUUAGAAAGAUUACCCUUAAUUAACUCUUUUAAUUUCGUUGUAGAUUCUUAAGUGACCUUAACUUGUGUAAAUACUAAGGUAAAGGGUCAACUUAAUCCCCACACAAUGUAAUUCUUUUUUUUUUUUUUUUUUUUUUUUUAAAUUUUUUGAUAUAUUUUAGUUUGAUGUAUGACUUGAUCAUUCAAUUAAUAAUAUAUUGUUUACAUCUUUUAGAUGUAUACAAUAUUGGUUCUUUUUUCUUUCUUUGUUGUUUUUGUAUAUUUUUCCUUUUCUUGUUGUACAUUUCAUGUUUAUAUUAAUUUAUGUGACAUAAUUUGCAUAUUGUGAAUAAAUAUGAAUAAUCUUUAAAGUUGCAAUGGAUUAGCUCAAUUCAGUAUAUUAUAAAUGGGCGACAAUAUAGGAUCCACACAACUGAUCCACCACUAAGGAAUCAUCUACAGGGUAGCAAUAUCAAUAGACCCAUCAAAACUCACGAAUCAUAUCAAGACUCAAUGUCGAAUAAGUAAACAUGUAGUAGAAAGUAGAACCACAGUCAAACACUACGAAGACAGAUCAAAGGUGUACUGAAUCAUACCUGUGGCUAUUGUACCAGAAGCUUUUGCCUCGUGUCCAUUCUGUGGAACCUUAUAAUGAGACAUAUCAUAUCCUAGAGCAACCGAUGAAUCAUCCCUCAGUCUAAGUUGUGGGCAAUUCCUUCUAUAGUUUUCGAGACCUCUAUAUAAGAAACAAUCCAAAGAAGUAAGAGCCCGCUUAGACAGGCAUGAAGGACCUAAACGACCACUAUGAUCUAACCCUCUCCAAGCAUAAUCAAGAGGAUCUUAGCCUCUAACAUACAUAUCGGUAUCAUCAUCAAAUCUACCGAGCCUUUGUCCCACAAGCCUCUCAUGUCUUUACACAAACUCCUCUUGAAACUUUCAAGCAAACUGAACCCAUGAAAGAGGUAGUGACCCAACUGGUCUACUCUUUACAAAAGUCAUCUACCAUUUUUUUGGCUGGUCCAAAGACUAAAAAGUAGUACAAUCUACUCUAUUAGAAUAUACCAAGCCCAAUAUGUGCAACCUCUCACAACAAUCGAGCAAGAAUAUAUAAGUAUCAAGCCUAGGAUCUCCUCUAGGGCUGUGCAAAAACCGAACCGAUAAAAAUACUAUUGGGUUAUCGGUAUCGGAUUAUUGGGUUAUUGGUUUUAUAAAAAAUUUUAUUAGUUAAUCGGUUUGGUUUCGAUUUUGAUCUAUUGGGUUAUCGGUUUAACCGGUAACCCAAUAAGAAUACUGUAAAAUUAUUAUGCUACCCCUGUUUAAUAUUUUUUUUUGGUUUAAUUUGUCAUUUUAUUAAUAAUAAAACUUAAUGGCCCAACCCAUUAUUCAAUAAAAUAAAAAUCUGUUUAGCAAUCCAUUUACUCUACCCGGCCCAACCCAAAAUAACAUAUAUGAUAAGUUGAAAGAGUAGGUUUCUAAAUCCAGAAGUUUCCAAAUCCACAUCUCAUCUCCACCGCCUCUUACUUUUCUACUCCCCUUUUUGUUGCUGUAGCUGGUCUAUCUUACAGCUUCUCCCUCUUGUUGACCUGCUUCUUUCAUCUUACUAAGGUACUGACUGAGAUCCCCUUGAUUAUUUACUCUUUGAUUCACUUUUUUGGCAAAAUGUUGAUGCUUUCCUCUCCAUUGAGAGGAUGCCGUCCCAGAACCGAUCGUGAAUUUCUUGUGCUGUUUUGAUAAGAACUGUGAUUACUAUGAAUGAACCCAAUUUAUGUAUGUUUUUGAGAAAACGAUCUAUGAUGGUUGGAGUCUUGUCAAUUUGGCAGGUUCAAACUAUUUCGUGGCCAUGAAUGAUCCCUUUUUGAUGGCCAUGAGUUUGUAUGAUGGGACUGUGGUGUCCUCUUAUUUGUGCCGUGGGGUUAUAAAUAACAUCACAAUGUCAAUGGCAAAGUUCAAGCUAGUGGUUGUCUCUUUAUCUGCUGUGCUUGGUCACCACAGAUUCCUGUCAGAUUAGUAAAUGGUUUAAAUAUGUCCUUGAUGAACCAGAGUAUAGUUUUGGUCGACGGAAUCAGUUGUUCAAAUUGUUUGUAUGGUUGAAGCACCCACUGUAUCCUUGUUCCAAGGGUGAUAAAGAAUUUAAGUGUUGAAGCUAUUAGACUCUUUAAUCCUCAAUAAUGGUUCUUUGGUACAUUUUGAAUGAAAUAAUACUUAUUUAUAACACCACUUAGCAAGAAGAAGCCAACAUUAAGAAAAAAAUAAUGUUUACUUUUGUAAUGUUUUUCCACCAGCCUCUUUUCUUGAAGUAUCUUUCUGUUAUUAAUUUUUUUUCUUGCAUUUUGUUUAUGCCUAAAAUUCUUAGUAAAGAAUUUGACAUGGUUCAAAAUAAGGAAAGAGAUCUCUUCAUUUUUGUUUACUUUGAAAGUAUUUCAUGAUUUGUUGUCUAAUUAUUGUCUAAAUUCUAUUUUACAGUGACAUAUACUGAUAUACAUGGAUGAAAAUACUACAACUGAUGAGACAGUGAUCCUAGGAGAUGAAAGCACUAAUUCAAAUAUUGCGCGUCAAACACAUUCUGUUCAGACGACGGUAAAAAAAGAAAGAAAAGGUCUCGUGCAUGGAAUCAUUUUGGAUCAUUUGUUGAUGAAGAAGGAAAUAAGAAAUCAAGGUGUAAGCAUUGUGGUCAAGAUUAUUUUGCUGAUUCAAAUAAAAAUGGUACCACGACAAUGCUUACUCAUUUGUUAACAUGUUCAAAGAUGCCUCGAAAUCAAACUGUUGACAAAAAUCAAACCGAAAUAGGCUUUCAAUCUGUUCAGGGGGUGUUGCGGGUGAUGUUGCUGUUGUUUCGUGGAAAUUUGAGCAAGAACAAUGUAGGAGAGCUUUAUGUCGCAUGGUUAUUGUGGAUGAACUCCCCUUCAAGUUUGUUUAGAAAGAAGGUUUUAGAAACUUUAUGAAAGUAGCGCAACCUCAUUUUAAGAUUCCUUCUCGUAACACUGUGACACGUGACUAUUUUAAACUGUUUGAUGAAGAGAAACAAAAGUUGAAGAGGUCUUUUAGAGACGCCCAACAAAGAGUCUGUCUUACCACUGAUACUUGGAUCUCUUUGCAGCGAAUUAAUUAUAAAUGCAUCACUGCACAUUGGAUCGACAGUAAAUGGAUUAUGCACAAGAGGAUAAUUAACUUUUGUCCAAUUACUAGUCACAGAGGUGAAGACAUGGCUAAUGAGAUUAGUAAGUGUUUACAUGAUUGGGGCAUCAAUAAAAUUUUUACCAUCACAGUUGAUAAUGCUAGUUCGAACGACGUGACUGUGAAAGAGUUAGCUAAGAUAUUCACUAAACGGGGAACCAAUUUCAUGAAUAGAGAACACUUUCAUGUAAGGUGUAUGGCUCACAUUAUUAAUCUCAUUGUCCAAGAUAGUUUGAAAGUGAUUGGAGUGUCCAUUGAAAAGGUUAGAAAAGCAGUGAAAUACAUAAGGCAGUCCCCUGCAAGGUGUAAGAGGUUCCAAGAAUGUUGUGAAGAUGUUGAUAUCAAUAGUAAAAAAUCGUUAUGUUUGGAUGUUUCUAUGAGGUGGAACUCCACAUAUUUGAUAUUGAAUAGGGCAGUUGAGUGUGAAAAUGGGUUGAUGAGUUAUGUUUAUUGUGACAUUGGCUUAUCACAUUACCUUCAGUUUGUUAAAGAUGAAGAGAGAACUGUUGUCGGUGCAUUUUCUAGUGAUGACUGGGACUAUGUGAAGAAAAUUGCCAAUUUUCUUCAAAUUUUUUAUGAUCUAAUGAAAGAAGUAUCUAGAUCACUUCACAUCAAAUUUACACUUUCUUAAAAUUUGUGAGGUUUCUUAUUAUUUGAAGCAGUUGAUAUCGAGUGACGAUGAUGGUGAUGAUCUUUUGGGUAAAAUUACAUCGAAUAUGAAAGAAAAGUUUGAUAAGUAUUGGGGUAGUCCAAAGAAAAUGAAUAAGAUGAUUUUUAUUUCAUGUGUUCUGAAUCCUCGGCACAAGUUUGUUUUAGUUGGUUUUGCUCUUCAAAUGAUGUUUGGGAAAGAAGAAGGACUAAUUUUAGAGAGCGAGGUGAAAGACUACAUGAAUUUGAUGUAUGGUGAGUAUGUAAAGGACUUUUCAAAAGAUAAAGAUAGUCAACAUUAUUCAUCUUCUUCUAGCUCUUUAUUUGAAAAUUCUAGUUCACUGCCUUCGAUUUCAGGUAGUACUAUUCAAUCGAUAGGGUUUUUAGGGUCAUUCAUGGAUGAUCUAAUGAAACAUAAAGCUAGAAAUAUAACAACGGUUAAAACAGAAUUGCAAAAGUAUCUUAAUGAAGCAAAUGAAGGUGAAACCAAGAACUUCAACGUCUUGUCUUGGUGGAAAAUACAUUCAUCCAGAUUUCCUAUUUUUGCUGAGAUGGCUCGGAAUGUGUUAUCUAUUCCCAUUUCAAGCGUGGCAUCCAAGUGUGCAUUUAGUACCGGUGGACGUAUCUUUGAUUCAUUUAGGAGUUCAUUAACUCCUAAAUUGGUACAAAUUCUAGUGUGCCUUCAAGAUUGGAUUCGGAGUGAAUCACAACCUGUUAGUAUUGAGGAAGAUAUAGAUGUUCUCGAAAAGCUUGAACAAGGUAAAAAUAUUCUAAUUGUAUUAGUUUUAUAUUAUUAUUGUAAACGGUUGUUAACAUUUUUUUGACUGAUUAAUAUAAAUUCUUUGUAGAAUUGGCUAAUACUAGCAUUCUUGAUGAUUGACAUGGAGUUGAAAUUCUUCUUUUUUGCACUUGAAUUUGGGCAUCUGGUAAGCCACCUAUCCUAGCUUUAAUUUAUUUUAAAUCAUGUAUUUUCUUUGUAUCUGCAAGAACUGUAACAUCUAGAAUUGAGAAUGAACUUGCAUAUGUGCUCUGUAAGAAUCUUACACAACAAAAGAGAUGAACACUAGAUCAGCUCUGAAAUCACAGAAACACUUUCACCAUCGACGUGAUGCAAGGGACUUGAUGAGAGGCCCAAAUGCCUGAUCCAUAGCUUUUUUCCGUAGGUGUGCAAACUCUAUGCCAGACUCCUCUUUUGGAACAUACACUGUUUUCUGAAUUUUUUCAAAUGGACGAAUUCAUUAGCAAAUACACAACAUUGAUUUAAUUUGAUUUAUCACAAACAAAUAAGUCUUGCAUUGAAACUUCAAAUGUUCAUAAACGGGGUAACAUAUGUAUCACAAUUGAGGUCAUCAUAAAUCAGUGAAAAGGGCUAUAUAGAUAUAUGCUCUAAUUAAAAUAUUUUUAUCAAGUAAAACAUGUGUUUCUAACAAUAUAUCUUGUCCAUCAUCGGCUUCACAAUUAAGGGGAAAAACAACACUGAAAAAUAUUACUAAGAAUUACUGUCAUAAUGAAAGUCAAUAUACCAUCAAACAUACAGCUAUAGAUUCCAAUGAGAUGAGGAUAAUAAACCAGUAGCUUCCAGGUUUUAAUUUUAUUUGGGUGGCUGGUUGGAGACACAUGUUGAAGCUAUUGCGUUGAUUAGUAACAUCACAAAGAUAAAGCACCAAUGUGCAUCAAUCCAGAGGCAAAGAACAAAUAUUAUAGCUUUAAUCUGUGCAUCAAUCUCAAGCUUUGAUUGUUGCUAUGUUUUUAUCUUUUUGAUUCCUCGUUAAGAUAUUUUACUUUGAAUUGUUAUGUGAAUUGUUGUAGGUGUCUGAGUUUUGGUAAGAUGUGAAUAUUUUCAAAAGCUUGAAGCGUUUGAAGAGUUUUGGACUUUUGGGAAGAUCUGGAUAUAUUGAAAAGAUUGAAGAAAUAGGAUUCGUUUUUUUUUUUUUCAACUAACAUUAAGUUUGAAGAUUUUUGUAAACUAAAACUCUUUAUGUAUUUUUUUUUUGGUUGUUACUAUUUCUAUUUUAUAAGUAUUUUUCUUAUUGGUUAAACCGAAAACCAAACCGUUAAGAAUCAAUAACCGAUAAACCGAUAACAAAUAUCUUAUUGGUUGGUUAUUGGGUUUGCAUAUUUAAAAACCGAAAAUCGAUAAACCAAACCGAUAACACACAAAACCGAACCGAACCGAUCGAUGCCCACCCCUAAUCUCCACCGAACCAAUGAGGAUCUGUCCUUAUAAACUCUACAUACCUAGUUUGUUCUUUCAUGGACAUAAGGGUAGGUCACUAAAUGUGGAGCAAUCCUUGGUAAUAUCUCAUCAACUCUAGGAGAAUUAAUAUUAGUUGUUGGUAUUUAUCGUGAAUUUCUUACCAUAUUGGAUUUUCUUUAGGUACCAUAAUUGAGUUUCCAUUUAGGAAAAGGAAAUCCUAAAUUCUUUAUAUUUGUCCAAUCCUUAUUCUUGUAGGAAAAAUGCUAUCGAUUUAAUAAAUAGAGGCUCCUUUCUUUUAGUUUAGCAUCAUCCACAAUGUAGUCCUAGGGGUUUGAGAGUGUUGUUUGGGGGGGAGACUUUGUAAGACAGAAGUGUUGCAGUAUCACUUGUGUGAACCUCUUUUUAUUCUGAGUGAGUUGUGUGAGGUUGCCUUUCUUGACAGUUUGUAUUCUCUUUUAUAUAGUGGAUUGCUCAUCUCCUUUUGUAAAUGUAGGUCGAUUGAUCGAACCACAUUAAGUUCUUUUAUCUCUUUUGGUGUAUUUCUCAUUUAUCUGCUUAUUCAUGGUCUUUUGAGAUUUUCUUUGCUAUCUUCCGUAUGAUACCUGAUUAUUUUGGUCCUACCAAGUGGUAUCAUAUAGCAAGGUUAAAAUUGGGUGUUCAUCUUGGCAGAUUCAGUUCUAACCGCAACUUAUUAGACGAUAAUAAAGAUUUUGGUUUGAGAAAUUUUAUCAGAACACUCUGUGUAGAGACAAAAUUAAAUGGAUGAGAUUUUUCAGAUGGAGACUGAACUUGAUGAAGACUACGUGAAGAAAGUGGAACAAAUUUAUUUUGUUAGAAAUUCAGGCCAAAGGAGAGAAUUGUUGGUAUUUGUCCUGACUUUCUUACCAUAAUUGAUUCCUUUAGGUACCAUAAUUGAGUUUCCCUUUCGAAAAAGAAAAACCUAAAUUCUCCAUAUUUGGCUAAUCUUUAUUCUUGUAGGAAAAGAUUAUAGACUCUAUAAAUAGAGGCUCCUUUCUUCUAGUUUAGCAGUAUCCACAAUGUAGUUCUAGGGGUUUAAAAGUGUUAUUUGGGGAGAACACUUUGUAAGACACAAGUGUUGCGGUAUCACUUGUGUGAACCUCUUUUUAUUCCGAGUGAAUUAUAUGGGGUUGUCUCUCUUGACAGUUUGUACUCUCUUUUAUUUAGUGGAUUACUCAUCUCCUUUUGUAGAUGUAGGUUAAUUGAUCGAACCACGUUAAAUUUUUGUGUCUCUUUUGGUGUAUUUCUUGUUUAUCUUUUUAUUCAUGGUCUUUCAAGGUUUGUUUUGCUAGCUUCUGCAUGACACUUGAUUAUUUUGGUCAUAAAAGUAGCCACAUAUGUAUCUGCUGUCUGAAGCCCCGAAGUAGAAUGCUAAAUCAAAAUAGAAGUCACCUUCUGAAGGAAGCCCAACACUCGAACCAAGUAAUCAUCAACCAUAGGUAUAGUCACAAAUGGUGUUUACACUGACCUCAACCCCUCUAACUCAAUAGAACCAUCAUUAUCAACUCUAGAACCUAAGGAGGCAAUCCAAACUAGACCUUCAGAUGAUCCGAAUACUCCAAUCCAAUCUCUGCCUUGACCUCUGCCCCUGUCGUGCACCAAAGGUAUGGGCUCUGAAUUUCUAGCUAAUAAAGAAUGCAUUCUCACCAUGUUUGAGAGAGUGAAUAAGAGAUUUUGAGUUAUACAAAGUUAUGAGCACAUGAAAUAGAAUGAAAAUGGAUUUCUCCUAAAGUCAUAUAGUUUCUCAAAGAUAGAUAAUGGACGUCUCCGCACUGAUCUACAAGACUCUACUAGACUCAACUUGUAUUAAUGAGACCAAUGAAACUGAUACUUAUACCAAUUUACCACGACCCAAAAUAGAUAAACGAUGACACUUAUCAUACCCUCUGGACAAGUAAAUCUAUCCCAACCCAAACUCAAUAAUCAGAUAUAACGUAAGCAAAAGAAAAUAAGAAAGAUAAAUCCAUAAUAAUUAAGGAUGAAUUACCAACUCAAUGCCACAUCUUUUUUUAAUAACCCCCAUAGCUAUGCAGUUGUGGAGGCAGUUUGCUACUUGUGCAGGUAUACAAAUAGAAGGAAGGCAACUUCAACAAAUAAUUCACGAGUGGUGGAAUAAAGAAGUAAACUCUAAAUUGCAACAGUGUACAGAGCUAUACCAGCAUUUGUGAUUUGGGAGUUAUGGAAAAGAAGAAAUAAAAGAAAACAUGGUGGCGAUGUUACUCUAAUCAUGAUGGUGCAACACAUUCAAACCCACAUACAUCAGAUGCUGAGGAUCAUAUACCCAUGGCUGAAUAUACAGUCUUUGGAUUGGCAAGAAUUAUUUAACUUUUUGGGGACAUAUAAGGCAAGACUGCAUCACAAUAUGGUAAGGUGAGGAUUACCAUCUUCUGGGAAUAUCAAGUAUAACACAGACGGAGCAAGUAAAGGAAAUCCUGGAGUAAGUGUAUAUGAUUUUUGUUUGAGAGACCAUAAAGGGGAUCUGAUUUUUGCUAAGGCUGAGAAUAGUGGAAUUUGUACAAACAUUGUUGCAGAAGACAAUGCAAUUCUACAAGCUUUAAGGUACUGUUCUAGCAAUUUUCUAUCAGGAGUAAUUAUAGAAUCAGAUUCUUUGAUAUUGAUAAAAGUAAUAAAGGAAGUCUGGCAAGUACCCUGGGAAAUAGUGGAAAUUGUUGAAUAAAUAAAAAAAGGAAGGCUAGGGAUUAUUUUUCAACACAUCUUUUGGGAAGGAAAUUGUAAUGAACCAAUGUCCCACAUUGGAAAAAAAGAGAAAUGCUAAGGGUUUUAUAUGCUAAAUGGGUUUUCCACCUAUUAGAUUAAUUUUUUGGGUUGGGCUCUCCCGUUUGGUUUAUAACAAAAAUCAAUUUGCAGAUUACUUGGCUAAUAUAGCCAUACAUAUAAAGGGGUUAUUGGAGUUUAAUGCUUUUACAAACAUACCACCUGAAGGGAGAAGGAUUUUAAACAUAGAUAAAUUUCAGAUACCAGAAAUCAGAACAAGUACAAGAAAAAUUAAACCACAAGCAUGAGAUUAAUGAGCACAUAGAGUUGGUGCAGUAAGUAAUAUAACAAGUCCAUGUACUGAUGCAACUAGAAAAAGUAAUAAAAGAUGGAUUUCAAAUAUAUCGCAAAAAUGGAAAAGGAAAGGAGGAAUAUUGUUCUCACAGAUGGGAGAAUUGCUAUUUCCGGAAUGCUGCCUCCUCCAUUUCACUGGAGAUAGUUAAUCCUCAAACAUUUAUCAAGAUUAAGAGGAUCAAAAACAUGAAAAUGCAGUGAUUCUCUUUGUGUGAGAAGGAUGACCACAACAAUAAUCAAAUCAAGCUUGUUGAUAACCCACAAGGAAAGAAAAAGAAAUCUGUUUUACAGUUGGGAUUAAACGGAUUACAAUCUGGGAACUGAGAUGAAGAUGAGAUGGUGAAUGGUUUGCUUUUGGAAAGUGUACUGCAGAAGCCAAAUUCAUUUUCUACAAUUUGUACUUCUUUUCUUUUGUUGUUUUUUUCUUUUGUUUAUUGGGCCUAUGGCCAGAAUAAUUUUGUUUUUGCUUUAUUAAUUUUAAUAAAAGGCUGAACAGCC